Molecule: ribosomal RNA, 253 nt
Filed under: uncultured archaeon
Lineage: Archaea
Description: partial 16S ribosomal RNA
Rfam family: Archaeal small subunit ribosomal RNA
Source: RNAcentral
AACCAGCACCGCAAGUGGUCAGGAUGAUUAUUGGGCCUAAAGCAUCCGUAGCCGGCUCUGUAAGUUUUCGGUUAAAUCUGUACGCUCAACGUACAGGCUGCCGGGAAUACUGCAGAGCUAGGGAGUGGGAGAGGUAGACGGUACUCGGUAGGAAGGGGUAAAAUCCUUUGAUCUAUUGAUGACCACCUGUGGCGAAGGCGGUCUACCAGAACACGUCCGACGGUGAGGGAUGAAAGCUGGGGGAGCAAACCGG